AGUGAACGCUGGCGGCGUGCCUAAUACAUGCAAGUCGAACGGAGUGGGCACGGGUGAGUAAUAUAUAGCUAACUUCCCAUUACUAAGGGACAACAGUUGGAAACGACUGCUAAACCUUAUAGUAAUGGAUAGGGCUAUAUCGUAUCAGCUAGUUGGUAAGGUAACGGCUUACCAAGGCUAUGACGCGUAACUGGUCUGAGAGGAUGAUCAGUCACACUGGAACUGAGACACGGUCCAGACUCCUACGGGAGGCAGCAGUAGGGAAUCUUCCGCAAUGGGCGAAAGCCUGACGGAGCAACGCCGCGUGAGUGAUGAAGGUCUUCGGAUCGUAAAACUCUGUUAUUAGGGAAGCGGUACCUAAUCAGAAAGCCACGGCUAACUACGUGCCAGCCGCCGCGGUAAUAC
Molecule: ribosomal RNA, 405 nt
Filed under: uncultured bacterium
Lineage: Bacteria
Description: partial 16S ribosomal RNA
Rfam family: Bacterial small subunit ribosomal RNA
Source: RNAcentral